GACCCGUGGUGUAAUGGUUUGAGCAUCGGACUGUGACUCUGGAGACCAGGGUUCGAGUCCUGGCUUGGCCA
Non-coding RNA from Phrynosoma platyrhinos (Desert horned lizard), 71 nucleotides. The record is from the annotation of a GenBank genome assembly. Lineage: Eukaryota; Metazoa; Chordata; Lepidosauria; Squamata; Phrynosomatidae.